This 99-nucleotide transfer RNA is filed under the name Actinokineospora sp. NBRC 105648. RNAcentral's name for it is "tRNA-Val". Lineage: Bacteria; Bacillati; Actinomycetota; Actinomycetes; Pseudonocardiales; Pseudonocardiaceae. The record is from RNAcentral.
GGUCUCGGAAGCGUUGUCGGCCGGGGGUUUCGGCGUCGACACCACUGUGGUGACGGUCGUGUCCGCAGGCACGUCGGGUUCGAAGCCCGACGACAGCGC